UCUUCGGCAAUGGGCGCAAGCCUGACCGAGCGACGCCGCGUGCGGGAUGAAGGCCUUCGGGUUGUAAACCGCUGUCGUAGAGGAGGAAAUGCAGGGGGGUUCUCCCUUCUGUUUGACCUAUUCUAGGAGGAAGUACGGGCUAAGUUCGUGCCAGCAGCCGCGGUAAGACGAACCGUACAAACGUUACUCGGAAUUACUGGGCUUAAAGGGUGCGUAGGCUGCGCGGAAAGUUGGGUGUGAAAGCCCUCGGCUCAACCGAGGAAUUGCACUCAAAACUACCGUGCUUGAGGGAGACAGAGGUAAGCGGAACUCAAGGUGGAGCGGUGAAAUGCGUUGAUAUCUUGAGGAACACCGGUAGCGAAGGCGGCUUACUGGGUCUUUUCUGACGCUGAGGCACGAAAGCUAAGGUAGCAAACGGGAUUAGAUACCCCGGUAGUCUUAGCUGUAAACGAUGAGCACUUGAUUGGAGGGUCCUCCAUAGCCUUCCAGUCGUAGCGAAAGUGUUAAGUGCUCCGCCUGGGGA
RNAcentral lists this ribosomal RNA (523 nucleotides) under uncultured bacterium. RNAcentral describes it as "bacterial SSU rRNA". It matches the Rfam family "Bacterial small subunit ribosomal RNA", at positions 362 to 879 of the family's 1533-position model. The record is from RNAcentral.